GGUUCCGUAGCUCAAUUGGAUAGAGCAUGGGUUUUCUAAACCCAGGGUUACAGGUUCGAAAUACGAAGUAUUCGUGAAUACCAUAUAUAAAAUAUGAAAUUCAUGAACAACCCUGUCGGAAUCA
Molecule: transfer RNA, 124 nt
Filed under: Chryseobacterium sp. SL1
Lineage: Bacteria; Pseudomonadati; Bacteroidota; Flavobacteriia; Flavobacteriales; Weeksellaceae
Also listed under: 1 other name
Description: tRNA-Arg
Rfam family: tRNA
About the family: Transfer RNA (tRNA) molecules are approximately 80 nucleotides in length. Their secondary structure includes four short double-helical elements and three loops (D, anti-codon, and T loops).
Source: RNAcentral